GGGGUGGUAGCUCAAUGGCUAGAGCAUCUGCCUGUCACGCAGAAGGUUGAGGGUUCGAGUCCCUUCCAUCCCGCCA
Molecule: transfer RNA, 76 nt
Filed under: Candidatus Berkelbacteria bacterium
Lineage: Bacteria; Candidatus Berkelbacteria
Description: tRNA-Asp
Rfam family: tRNA
About the family: Transfer RNA (tRNA) molecules are approximately 80 nucleotides in length. Their secondary structure includes four short double-helical elements and three loops (D, anti-codon, and T loops).
Source: RNAcentral